RNAcentral lists this small nuclear RNA (324 nucleotides) under Erinaceus europaeus (western European hedgehog). Its description in RNAcentral is "7SK RNA". It matches the Rfam family "7SK RNA", at positions 1 to 261 of the family's 331-position model. Rfam says of the family: 7SK was discovered as an abundant small nuclear RNA in the mid-70s but a possible function has only recently been suggested. Two independent studies have found that 7SK RNA binds the CDK9/cyclin T complex (known as elongation factor P-TEFb). Lineage: Eukaryota; Metazoa; Chordata; Mammalia; Eulipotyphla; Erinaceidae. The record is from Rfam by way of RNAcentral.
AGAUGUGAGGGUGAUCUGGCUGCGACAUCUGUCAUCCCAUUAAUUGCCAGCGUUGAUUCGGCUGAUCUGGCUGGCUAGGCGGGUGUCCCCUUCCUCCCUCACUGUUCUAUGCGUGUCCCUCCCGAAGUUGUGCGCUCGGUCGAAGAGGACGGCCUUCCCCGAACAGAGACAGAAAGGUCUUCGGUGGGAAUAGAGUCAGAAAGGCCUUUGGUGGAGGGUAUAGGAAUAGCUGCGCUCCCCUGCUAGAACCUUCAAAGGAGCUCUCAAAAUAUCAACCAUCUUCCAUCUGUUCCAUCUGAUUUUUCUUCAGCUCUGUUGAUAGCA